RNAcentral lists this ribosomal RNA (252 nucleotides) under uncultured bacterium. Its description in RNAcentral is "partial 16S ribosomal RNA". It matches the Rfam family "Bacterial small subunit ribosomal RNA", at positions 524 to 776 of the family's 1533-position model. The record is from RNAcentral.
UACGGAGGAUGCGAGCGUUAUCCGGAUUUAUUGGGUUUAAAGGGUGCGUAGGCGGGCUUUUAAGUCAGCGGUAAAAAUGCGGGGCUCAACCCCGUCCGGCCGUUGAAACUGGGGGCCUUGAGUGGGCGAGAAGAAGGCGGAAUGCGUGGUGUAGCGGUGAAAUGCAUAGAUAUCACGCAGAACCCCGAUUGCGAAGGCAGCCUUCCGGCGCCCUACUGACGCUGGGGCACGAAAGUGCGGGGAUCGAACAGG